AGCAGCCGCGGUAAUUCCAGCUCCAAUAGCGUAUAUUAAAGUUGCUGCAGUUAAAAAGCUCGUAGUUGAAUUUCGGGACCAAUAUGUCGGUCGUGCCUCGGUACGUACUGGCAUCGUUGGUUUCUCCCUUCUGACGAACCAUGAUGUCAUUUAUUUGGUGUCGUGGGGAAUCAGGACUGUUACUUUGAAAAAUUAGAGUGUUUAAAGCAGGCUCACGCUUGAAUACAUUAGCAUGGAAUAAUGAAAUAGGACGUUUGAUUCUAUUUUGUUGGUUUCUAGGAUCGACGUAAUGAUUAAUAGGGAUAGUUGGGGGCAUUAGUAUUCAAUUGUCAGAGGUGAAAUUCUUGGAUUUAUUGAAGACUAACUACUGCGAAAGCAUUUGCCAAGGAUGUUUUCAUUAAUCAAGAACGAAAGUUAGGGGAUCGAAGACGAUCAGAUACCGUCGUAGUCUUAACCAUAAACUAUGCCGACUAGGGAUCGGAUGAUGUUAAUUUUUUAAUGACUCAUUCGGCGCCUUAAC
RNAcentral lists this ribosomal RNA (520 nucleotides) under uncultured Glomus. RNAcentral's name for it is "SSU rRNA". It matches the Rfam family "Eukaryotic small subunit ribosomal RNA", at positions 569 to 1092 of the family's 1831-position model. The record is from RNAcentral. Lineage: Eukaryota; Fungi; Glomeromycota; Glomeromycetes; Glomerales; Glomeraceae.